RNAcentral lists this ribosomal RNA (254 nucleotides) under uncultured bacterium. Its description in RNAcentral is "partial 16S ribosomal RNA". It matches the Rfam family "Bacterial small subunit ribosomal RNA", at positions 524 to 776 of the family's 1533-position model. The record is from RNAcentral.
UACGUAGGGAGCAAGCGUUGUUCGGAUUUACUGGGCGUAAAGGGCGCGUAGGCGGCAACUCAAGUCAGCUGUGAAAUCUCCGGGCUUAACUCGGAACGGUCAGCUGAUACUGUUUUGCUAGAGUGCGGAAGGGGCAAUCGGAAUUCUCGGUGUAGCGGUGAAAUGCGUAGAUAUCGAGAGGAACACCAGAGGUGAAGACGGGUUGCUGGGCCGACACUGACGCUGACAGCGCGAAAGCCAGGGGAGCAAACGGG